UACGAAGGGGGCUAGCGUUGUUCGGAUUUACUGGGCGUAAAGCGCACGUAGGCGGAUCGUUAAGUCGGGGGUGAAAUCCUGGAGCUCAACUCCAGAACUGCCUUCGAUACUGGCGAUCUUGAGUCCGGAAGAGGUGAGUGGAACUCCUAGUGUAGAGGUGGAAUUCGAAGAUAUUAGGAAGAACACCAGUGGCGAAGGCGGCUCACUGGUCCGGUACUGACGCUGAGGUGCGAAAGCGUGGGGAGCAAACAGG
Molecule: ribosomal RNA, 253 nt
Filed under: uncultured bacterium
Lineage: Bacteria
Description: partial 16S ribosomal RNA
Rfam family: Bacterial small subunit ribosomal RNA
Source: RNAcentral